UUUCUUGGUUGGAUUCAUCUAAAGCCAGACUUUCCAGUGCCUCAAGAUUAUCAGAUUCUUGCCCUGUUAGCCUCUCAAUCAUGCUGGUCAAAUAAUGCACAUGUUCAGCCAGUGACAUGAGUUCCUCAUUUUCCUCCUUUAGGCGGGCAAUUUCACCAUCUUUUUGUUCAAUCUCUUUGUGCAACUUUUCAUUUUCUUGAAGCACUUCAUACAGAGCCUUCCUCCUUUCUUCAGCCACUUCUUUCCAAUAUUGAGAUGAAGGACUUUUUUUUAUGAGAUCUAUAGCUUGAAUGACAUCAUCUGUAUUCUCAUUUUCUUGCUCUUUGUCCACAGAUGCCUCAGCUUUACAAGCUGAGGAGGUAAGCCUGUUAUUCCAGAGUUUCCUCUUGACUGAAGACUUCUUCUCAUUACACCUUCCAACCAGGAAACCUUUUGCAGAAGGCUGAAUCAUCUUAAGAGUCCGUCUUGGGGCAGCACUGCAUGCAGUGUCUGUGAGGUACUUCUGCAGAGAUCCAGAUGGGUUCUCCACAUUCAGGCUUUGUUUCAUUUUGGAAUUCAUCAGAUCAAGCAACACUGAGAACUCGGCCAGAAGUCACGCGGUUAGGAACCCCUUCAGCUCAGCGCUCCACCCGUGUUUUAGCCCUGCACCAGCAAGAUACCAGAGGCUAUCACGAGCUCAGCAGCUGUGGAGCCUUCCCACGGCCUUCCCGUAGCAGCCCGGCCAGCAGCAGCCGAGCCACCCCUGAGACAGACC
RNAcentral lists this long non-coding RNA (754 nucleotides) under Gallus gallus (chicken). Lineage: Eukaryota; Metazoa; Chordata; Aves; Galliformes; Phasianidae. The record is from RNAcentral.